CAUGAAGGAGUUCUGUACGGGGUGGUUCGAUUCCGGCGUGCUCCAGA
This 47-nucleotide small RNA is filed under the name Odontella aurita. RNAcentral's name for it is "partial Betaproteobacteria transfer-messenger RNA". The record is from RNAcentral. Lineage: Eukaryota; Bacillariophyta; Thalassiosirophyceae; Eupodiscales; Odontellaceae.